This 1189-nucleotide ribosomal RNA is filed under the name Sarocladium sp. RNAcentral describes it as "SSU rRNA". It matches the Rfam family "Eukaryotic small subunit ribosomal RNA", at positions 114 to 1314 of the family's 1831-position model. Lineage: Eukaryota; Fungi; Ascomycota; Sordariomycetes; Hypocreales; Sarocladiaceae. The record is from RNAcentral.
CGUUUAUUUGAUAGUGCCUUACUACUUGGAUAACCGUGGUAAUUCUAGAGCUAAUACAUGCUAAAAACCCCGACUUCGGAAGGGGUGUAUUUAUUAGAUACAAAACCAAUGCCCUUCGGGGCUUCUUGGUGAUUCAUGAUAACUAUACGAAUCGCACGGCCUUGCGCCGGCGAUGGUUCAUUCAAAUUUCUUCCCUAUCAACUUUCGAUGUUUGGGUAUUGGCCAAACAUGGUUGCAACGGGUAACGGAGGGUUAGGGCUCGACCCCGGAGAAGGAGCCUGAGAAACGGCUACUACAUCCAAGGAAGGCAGCAGGCGCGCAAAUUACCCAAUCCCGACUCGGGGAGGUAGUGACAAUAAAUACUGAUACAGGGCCCUUUCGGGCCUUGUAAUUGGAAUGAGUACAAUUUAAAUCCCUUAACGAGGAACAAUUGGAGGGCAAGUCUGGUGCCAGCAGCCGCGGUAAUUCCAGCUCCAAUAGCGUAUAUUAAAGUUGUUGUGGUUAAAAAGCUCGUAGUUGAACCUUGGGCCUGGCUGGCCGGUCCGCCUCACCGCGUGUACUGGUCCGGCCGGGCCUUUCCCUCUGUGGAACCCCAUACCCUUCACUGGGCGUGGCGGGGAAACAGGACAUUUACUUUGAAAAAAUUAGAGUGCUCCAGGCAGGCCUAUGCUCGAAUACAUUAGCAUGGAAUAAUAAAAUAGGACGCGCGGUUCUAUUUUGUUGGUUUAUAGGACCGCCGUAAUGAUUAAUAGGGACAGUCGGGGGCAUCAGUAUUCAACUGUCAGAGGUGAAAUUCUUGGAUCAGUUGAAGACUAACUACUGCGAAAGCAUUUGCCAAGGAUGUUUUCAUUAAUCAGGAACGAAAGUUAGGGGAUCGAAGACGAUCAGAUACCGUCGUAGUCUUAACCAUAAACUAUGCCGACUAGGGAUCGGACGGUGUUAUUCAUGACCCGUUCGGCACCUUACGAGAAAUCAAAGUGCUUGGGCUCCAGGGGGAGUAUGGUCGCAAGGCUGAAACUUAAAGAAAUUGACGGAAGGGCACCACCAGGGGUGGAGCCUGCGGCUUAAUUUGACUCAACACGGGGAAACUCACCAGGUCCAGACACAAUAAGGAUUGACAGAUUGAGAGCUCUUUCUUGAUUUUGUGGGUGGUGGUGCAUGGCCGUUCUUAGUUGGUGGGGUGACUUGU